AGUUAAAAAGCUACGCGACAAGCCUAAUGUCUUGAAAACAUUAUGAAAGAAGUUUAAAUCUUCUAUUAACUU
Molecule: transfer RNA, 72 nt
Filed under: Furculitermes soyeri
Lineage: Eukaryota; Metazoa; Arthropoda; Insecta; Blattodea; Termitidae
Description: tRNA-Ser
Source: RNAcentral